RNAcentral lists this ribosomal RNA (465 nucleotides) under uncultured bacterium. RNAcentral describes it as "partial 16S ribosomal RNA". It matches the Rfam family "Bacterial small subunit ribosomal RNA", at positions 28 to 507 of the family's 1533-position model. The record is from RNAcentral.
GACGAACGCUGGCGGCGUGCUUAACACAUGCAAGUCGAACGGAAAGGCCCUGCUUGCAGGGUACUCGAGUGGCGAACGGGUGAGUAACACGUGGGUGAUCUGCCCUGCACUUCGGGAUAAGCCUGGGAAACUGGGUCUAAUACCGGAUAGGAGCCAUUUUUAGUGUGAUGGUUGGAAAGUUUUUUCGGUGUAGGAUGAGCUCGCGGCCUAUCAGCUUGUUGGUGGGGUAAUGGCCUACCAAGGCGGCGACGGGUAGCCGGCCUGAGAGGGUGGACGGCCACAUUGGGACUGAGAUACGGCCCAGACUCCUACGGGAGGCAGCAGUGGGGAAUAUUGCACAAUGGGCGCAAGCCUGAUGCAGCGACGCAGCGUGGGGGAUGACGGCCUUCGGGUUGUAAACUCCUUUCGCUAGGGACGAAGCUUUUUGUGACGGUACCUAGAUAAGAAGCACCGGCUAACUACGUG